UUGAAAGGGAAACGAUUGAAGUCAGUCAUGCUAGCGAGGAAUCAACUUGGUGGUGUGAGUCUCUCAUCUCCUCCGUGUGCACUUCCUCGUCUGGCAGGUUAGCAUCAAUUUUGAUUGUCAUCAAAUAAUUGGGGUAAUGUGACUUCGCUUCGGUGGAGUGUUAUAGACCCCGGUGGAUGUGGCGAUUGGGAUUGAGGAUUGCAGCGGAUGCCUCUUGGCUAGUCACCUGAUUCCUGGCUGUCACCUCGCUUUCGACAGCUUGCUGACGAUUGUGGGACUCGGCGGUCUAGGUGUCGGUCUGAUCUUAAAUUCGUUAAGGAUGUUGACGUA
RNAcentral lists this ribosomal RNA (330 nucleotides) under uncultured Glomeromycotina. RNAcentral describes it as "LSU rRNA". The record is from RNAcentral. Lineage: Eukaryota; Fungi; Glomeromycota.